Molecule: ribosomal RNA, 208 nt
Filed under: uncultured bacterium
Lineage: Bacteria
Description: partial 16S ribosomal RNA
Rfam family: Bacterial small subunit ribosomal RNA
Source: RNAcentral
CGCGUAGGCGGGUUUCUAAGUCAGAGGUGAAAGCCUGGAGCUCAACUCCAGAACUGCCUUUGAUACUGGAAGUCUUGAGUAUGGCAGAGGUGAGUGGAACUGCGAGUGUAGAGGUGAAAUUCGUAGAUAUUCGCAAGAACACCAGUGGCGAAGGCGGCUCACUGGGCCAUUACUGACGCUGAGGCACGAAAGGCGUGGGGAGCAAACA